GCUGGGCGUGGUGGCGGGCGCCUGUAAUCCCAGCUACUCAGGAGGCUGAGGCAGGAGAAUCGCUUGAACCUGGGAGGUAGAGGUUGCAGUGAGCUGAGGUCAAGCCACUGCACCCUAGCCUGUGCAAUAGAGCGAGACUCUGUCUCAA
Non-coding RNA from Gorilla gorilla gorilla (western lowland gorilla), 148 nucleotides. It matches the Rfam family "Metazoan signal recognition particle RNA". Rfam says of the family: The signal recognition particle (SRP) is a universally conserved ribonucleoprotein. It is involved in the co-translational targeting of proteins to membranes. The eukaryotic SRP consists of a 300-nucleotide 7S RNA and six proteins: SRPs 72, 68, 54, 19, 14, and 9. NCBI's taxonomy places the organism in Eukaryota, Metazoa, Chordata, Mammalia, Primates, Hominidae. The record is from Rfam.